Molecule: long non-coding RNA, 1366 nt
Organism: Odocoileus virginianus texanus
Lineage: Eukaryota; Metazoa; Chordata; Mammalia; Artiodactyla; Cervidae
Source: RefSeq, a predicted model, not a curated record
UUGUUUGUCUUUAAAGAAGCCACCCGGGGUUGGGGACCCAGACGCCGCCGCCCGAGGCUUCCCGGGGCGCCCUCUCCCCCCUCUACCCGGCAGCACUCCGUUCAGUUCCUGCCUCACUUUUUGCGUUUCCUUUUGGCGGAAUCUGGCCUUCUCGGCUCCGUCUCCGCUCAGGCUGGCUCCCGGGAGCCCAGAAUGGGGAGGGAGCCUAGUCUACGCAAGCUCUGAAGGCAGAUUCACUUGAUAUACCGACUGGAACCCUCGGAGGAGGAGGCGGGUUGGGGCCCCGGCGUACCAGGAGCUUCGCGUUCUCCUGCCUCCGGCUGUCUCUCCAAUCGUGCGUUCGCUGGAGAGGGGUAGGCCUGGCCUUUUCGCUUCCAGGCCGCUUUCACAAGGGCCAGGCUUUGUCCCCACCUCUAUCCCAACCUCAGGGUCUCCGCGGACUGCAGCGCCGCUGGGUGGGCCCGGUGGGAGGCUCCGGCAGGAGUCCGGCGCCCAAGAGCCAGCCCGGCAGAAGCGGAAUCCCAGCGCCUGGAUGAGAACCGCCUGGCUGCCGACAACAGCGCUCCUCAUCUGAGGCUCUGGUGGUGGACGCCGCAGUCUGAGAGGGACAGAAAGUCUCCCAGCCCUCCUGUUGGAAGGUUCUUCUCAGUUUAAGCAGAGGUCUUGGGUCCAGACCAGCUCUCAGCUCCUGCAGGAAGCCCACCCUACAAGGUCUAAGGAGAAAUCUCUUGGGCACAGGACUUUCUCUUUUUUUCCAAGCCACCCCCUUGGAACUAGCACCUCUACUUCUGGCCAGCAAGCGGGACUGCUCCCCAGAAGCGUGCGCGCGCAGGUCGCCAUCCAGGCGGGUCUCUGCGCUUUUGCGGUGAAGCGGCAGCUGCCAAGCCCGAGGCUCCUCCGCAGGGGUCGGACUGGGCAGGAUUGGAGGAGUAAGUCAAGCUCCCGCGAGCCCAGAGUUUUUGCUCCUCCCUGUCUUCCACGACUUGCUCUGGAGAGGAGCCCGGGAAUCGAUGCACAAUAAAUUCUCCAUCGGGUUCUCCUGACCUGGCUUUCCCGCCUAAGGAGGACGAGAGCUAGCAGAGGAUGCAGGGUUGGGGCGGCGGGGGGGGNGGGGGGGGGUCUACAAGGGCGACUUGACUCGCUGGUGCAAGGUGGACUGGCCGAACAGAGUUGAUUUCAGAGCUGGGGAGGAUGCAGAAGAAUGCAGCAGGGCCGGUGUCAAGCAAGAGAAGCCACAGUCUCUGUCAAGCAGGGCACAGAUGAACGGGAGGAUGACACUGUCAAGGCUUAUGACCCACGAUCUGACCUCCUUUUGUUGGAAGGAUAGGAAAACAACAUGCAGAAUUAAACAUUUCCUGCAGCAAAA